CCUCAUCACAGACCCCUGCAAGCGUCCACCCGGCUUUGACCUAGCACGUUAUGAUCGGGCCCUCCUCAAUCGCUAUGGAACAGGCCAUGGCCGGUGCGCCGCUAUGUUCCAUCGCUGGGGAGCCAGAGACGACCCGAACUGCCCCUGCGGCUCCAGACAGACUGUGACCCACAUAGUCAACGACUGCCACCUCUCCAGAUUCAAAGGAGGUCUCGAAACUUGACAUCAGGCUCAACCUGACGCUGUGGACUGGCUACGGAAGAAGGGCAAACGCUAGAAGAAGAAGUGGGGAAGGAGGAGGGAGCCAGCCGGUGGGGCCCCCGGCACAGUCAGCCACAUCUUCAGAGGCGACUGAAAAAGGCGUAAUGGGGGAAAAAAAGGGUUUCACCGCUUUGACGGAGGAGUGUCAGACGAGGCCACCAGAGCCCUGAGUGAGCCGCCGCCGUCCCGUGUCAUGUCGGCGAGUUCUUGUGACAGUCUCGUCUGUGAGGCUUGAAACCGAUGGGACUUCCUAGGCCUCUGGUCGCGAGCCGGGCCUGGCAGUGGCGACACUGACCCCCCACGCCCGGGGAGGGAACUGCUCAGCUCUGGCCGAUGGUGGUGCUGGGGACUGAACCUGGGACCUCGGAGCCUCAGACAGGAGUGGCUCUUGCAGAUCCGCGAUGCCAGUCGGUGGGUGGGAGCCGUCCUGAGUGAAGUAAGGCGGCCGUAUCUCUAAGGUAACGCGAAAGGCGGGGGCUGGGUGUGACUGCAGGCUGAUGGAGGCUCAGCCCGGCUGGGAGGGAGGCUGGCGCUGCGCUGGCGCUGCCCUGGGCGCUUUCCUUCAUUCCCCUGAUCCUCUGCGGCUCUGCGGCUCAUGGCGUCCCGGCACCUCCCACAUAGAAGACCUUCGAUGACGUGGCCGUGACCCUCCCCCAGGAGGAGUGGGAGCAGCUGCGCCCUGCCCAGAGGGCCCUGUACCAUGAGGUGAUGCUGGCCAGCCCUCCCCUCCUCGGCCGGGCUGUGUGUCCGUCCUGGCCGCUCCCCCACCCCCAGCUUCCAGCACUUCCCAGUGCCGCUCUCCUGCCCCGACUCCCUGCGGCUCCAGACAGACUAUGACCCACACAGUCAACGACUGCCACCUCUCCAGAUUCAAAGGAGGUCUCGAAACUUGACAUCAGGCUCAACCUGACGCUGUGGACUGGCUACGGAAGAAGGGCAAACGCUAGAAGAAGCACUAGGGCUUGGACCUCAGCCGCGAAAGCCUGCACUUCGAUGGAGCUGGGGAUUGAACCUGGGGCUCUGGAGCCUCAGACACGAAAGUCUGUUGUAUAACCACUAUGCUGUCUCCCUGGCCGUGCCUUUAUUUGUAACUUGUGAUUGACAGCGGCUUAAAGAUUUUAAGAUUACCACGGACAGUUUCAUGCCACACCCACCCACCACCCAAGUUCUGUGUCCCGGCCCUCCCAUCUCUCAGAAGCACCAGAAUUCUCACAAGUCUUAUAAACUGCUGCUCCUGUC
Erinaceus europaeus (western European hedgehog) is the source of this 1500-nucleotide long non-coding RNA. RefSeq lists it as uncharacterized. The transcript is spliced from 2 exons. The record is from RefSeq and is a predicted model, not a curated record. Lineage: Eukaryota; Metazoa; Chordata; Mammalia; Eulipotyphla; Erinaceidae.